Molecule: ribosomal RNA, 348 nt
Filed under: uncultured Methanosaeta sp.
Lineage: Archaea; Methanobacteriati; Methanobacteriota; Methanomicrobia; Methanotrichales; Methanotrichaceae
Description: bacterial SSU rRNA
Rfam family: Archaeal small subunit ribosomal RNA
Source: RNAcentral
GGCCGUCGUCAGUUCGUACUGUGAAGCAUCCUGUUAAGUCAGGCAACGAGCGAGACCCACGCCCACAGUUGCCAGCGUACUCUCUGGAGUGACGGGUACACUGGUCGGGGACCCGCCCGCUGCUAAAGCGGAGGAAGGAAUGGGCAACGGUAGGUCAGUAUGCCCCGAAUAUCCCGGGCUACACGCGAGCUACAAUGGUUGGUACAAUGGGUAUCUACCCCGGAAGGGGACGGGAAUCUCCUAAAAACCAAUCUUAGUUCGGAUUGAGGGCUGCAACUCGCCCUCAUGAAGCUGGAAUCCGUAGUAAUCGCGUUUCAACAGAACGCGGUGAAUACGUCCCUGCUCCUU